CAGUAUUUCCCUGGGUUCCUGUGAUGGGGGUGGGGGCUGUCCUGACUGCUGGAGCUCUGCUACUCACCAUAUACUGCACUCUGAAGAGGAGAUCCACAGGAGGAAGUGAUACCACUGCAGACACACAGAAUGUGAGAGACUCUCCCAGUGACACAGCCCCUCAGAUAGAUGCUGAGCCCUCCGUUUAUGAGAACUGGAGCGAACCACCACAGAACCUGGACAGUGACACAGACCCUCAGAUAGAUGCUGAGCCCUCCGAUUAUGAGAACUGGAGAGAACCACAAAAGAACCUGGACUGAACAGAACCACCACAGAACCUGGACAGUGACACAGACCCUCAGAUAGAUGCUGAGCCCUCCAAUUAUGAGAACUGGAGAGAACCACCACAGGACCUGGACAGUGACACAGACCCUCAGAUAGAUGCUGAGCCCUCCGAUUAUGAGAACUGGAGAGAACCACAAAAGAACCUGGACUGAAGAGAACCACCACAGAACCUGGACCAAAGAGAACCACCAUAGAACUUGGACUGAAGAGAACCAAAACAGUACCUGGACUGAAGAGCUACAGCAUCAAACCAAAGCUAGGCCUCACAAUGCUAUUCUCUUACUAUCAUUAUGCUUUAUAGUCUAGAAGGUUUGAGACAAUGACCUUUAACUUUUGAGUAAAUGCUGGAAUUUAGAUUGUUCUCCUAAUGAUAAAUACAGUAUGUAUAUAGAUGAUCAAUACAGUAUGUAUAUAGAUGAUCAAUACAGUAUGUAUAUAGAUGAUCAAUACAGUAUGUAUAUAGAUGAUCAAUACAGUAUGUAUA
Oncorhynchus nerka (sockeye salmon) is the source of this 808-nucleotide long non-coding RNA. RefSeq lists it as uncharacterized. NCBI's taxonomy places the organism in Eukaryota, Metazoa, Chordata, Actinopteri, Salmoniformes, Salmonidae. The record is from RefSeq and is a predicted model, not a curated record. The transcript has 3 exons.